Molecule: ribosomal RNA, 759 nt
Filed under: Vibrio rumoiensis
Lineage: Bacteria; Pseudomonadati; Pseudomonadota; Gammaproteobacteria; Vibrionales; Vibrionaceae
Description: bacterial SSU rRNA
Rfam family: Bacterial small subunit ribosomal RNA
Source: RNAcentral
AUUGAACGCUGGCGGCAGGCCUAACACAUGCAAGUCGAGCGGCAACAGAGAUUAGCUUGCUAAUCUGCUGACGAGCGGCGGACGGGUGAGUAAUGCAUAGGAAGUUGCCCAGUAGAGGGGGAUACCAGUUGGAAACGACUGUUAAUACCGCAUAACCUCUUUGGAGCAAAGCAGGGGACCUUCGGGCCUUGCGCUACUGGAUACGCCUAUGUGGGAUUAGCUAGUUGGUGAGGUAAUGGCUCACCAAGGCGACGAUCCCUAGCUGGUCUGAGAGGAUGAUCAGCCACACUGGGACUGAGACACGGCCCAGACUCCUACGGGAGGCAGCAGUGGGGAAUAUUGCACAAUGGGCGAAAGCCUGAUGCAGCCAUGCCGCGUGUAUGAAGAAGGCCUUCGGGUUGUAAAGUACUUUCAGUUGUGAGGAAGGUUGUGUAGUUAAUAGCUGCAUAAUUUGACGUUAGCAACAGAAGAAGCACCGGCUAACUCCGUGCCAGCAGCCGCGGUAAUACGGAGGGUGCGAGCGUUAAUCGGAAUUACUGGGCGUAAAGCGCAUGCAGGUGGUUUGUUAAGUCAGAUGUGAAAGCCCGGGGCUCAACCUCGGAAGGUCAUUUGAAACUGGCAAACUAGAGUACUGUAGAGGGGGGUAGAAUUUCAGGUGUAGCGGUGAAAUGCGUAGAGAUCUGAAGGAAUACCAGUGGCGAAGGCGGCCCCCUGGACAGAUACUGACACUCAGAUGCGAAAGCGUGGGGAGCAAACAGG